GAUGAACGCUGGCGGCGUGCCUAAUACAUGCAAGUCGAGCGAACAGACGAGGAGCUUGCUCCUCUGAUGUUAGCGGCGGACGGGUGAGUAAUACGUGGAUAACCUACCUAUAAGACUGGGAUAACUUCGGGAAACCGGAGCUAAUACCGGAUAACAUGUUGAACCGCAUGGUUCAACAGUGAAAGACGGUUUUGCUGUCACUUAUAGAUGGAUCCGCGCCGCAUUAGCUAGUUGGUAAGGUAACGGCUUACCAAGGCAACGAUGCGUAGCCGACCUGAGAGGGUGAUCGGCCACACUGGAACUGAGACACGGUCCAGACUCCUACGGGAGGCAGCAGUAGGGAAUCUUCCGCAAUGGGCGAAAGCCUGACGGAGCAACGCCGCGUGAGUGAAGAAGGUCUUCGGAUCGUAAAACUCUGUUAUUAGGGAAGAACAAAUGUGUAAGUAACUAUGCACGUCUUGACGGUACCUAAUCAGAAAGCCACGGCUAACUACGUG
This 497-nucleotide ribosomal RNA is filed under the name uncultured bacterium. RNAcentral's name for it is "partial 16S ribosomal RNA". It matches the Rfam family "Bacterial small subunit ribosomal RNA", at positions 28 to 507 of the family's 1533-position model. The record is from RNAcentral.